RNAcentral lists this ribosomal RNA (501 nucleotides) under uncultured bacterium. Its description in RNAcentral is "partial 16S ribosomal RNA". It matches the Rfam family "Bacterial small subunit ribosomal RNA", at positions 30 to 523 of the family's 1533-position model. The record is from RNAcentral.
AUUGAACGCUGGCGGCAUGCCUUACACAUGCAAGUCGAACGGCAGCACGGGUGCUUGCACCUGGUGGCGAGUGGCGAACGGGUGAGUAAUACAUCGGAACGUACCUUAUCGUGGGGGAUAACGCAGCGAAAGUUGCGCUAAUACCGCAUACGCCCUGAGGGGGAAAGCGGGGGACCGUAAGGCCUCGCGCGAUUAGAGCGGCCGAUGUCUGAUUCGCUUGUUGGUGAGGUAAAAGCUCACCAAGGCGAUGAUCAGUAGCUGGUCUGAGAGGACGAGCAGCCACACUGAGACUGAGACACGGCUCAGACUCCUACGGGAGGGAGCAGUGGGGAAUUUUGGACAAUGGGGGCAACCCUGGUCCAGCAAUGCCGAGUGAGUGAAGAAGGCCUUCGGGUUGUAAAGCUCUUUUGUCAGGGAAGAAACAGCAGCUCUAACACAGUCUGCGAAUGACGGUACCUGAAGAAUAAGCACCGGCUAACUACGUGCCAGCCGCCGCGGUAA